UCACACCCGUUCCCAUUCCGAACACGGCAGUUAAGCUCUUCAGCGCCGAUGGUAGUUGGGGGUUUCCCCCUGUGAGAGUAGGACGCCGCCAAGC
RNAcentral lists this ribosomal RNA (94 nucleotides) under Peribacillus simplex. RNAcentral also lists the same sequence under 20 other names. The record is from RNAcentral. Lineage: Bacteria; Bacillati; Bacillota; Bacilli; Caryophanales; Bacillaceae.